UACGGGGGGGGCAAGCGUUGUUCGGAAUUACUGGGCGUAAAGGGUUCGUAGGUGGCCGACUAAGUCAGACGUGAAAUCCCUCAGCUUAACUGGGGAACUGCGUCUGAUACUGAUUGGCUUGAGGACAGGGGAGGAACGCGGAGUUCCAGGUGUAGCGGUGAAAUGCGUAGAUAUCUGGAGGAACACCGGUGGCGAAGGCGGCGCCCUGGCUCGCAACUGACGCUCAGACACGACAGCAUGGGGAGCGAACGGG
RNAcentral lists this ribosomal RNA (253 nucleotides) under uncultured bacterium. Its description in RNAcentral is "partial 16S ribosomal RNA". It matches the Rfam family "Bacterial small subunit ribosomal RNA", at positions 524 to 776 of the family's 1533-position model. The record is from RNAcentral.